RNAcentral lists this ribosomal RNA (406 nucleotides) under uncultured bacterium. RNAcentral's name for it is "partial 16S ribosomal RNA". It matches the Rfam family "Bacterial small subunit ribosomal RNA", at positions 30 to 526 of the family's 1533-position model. The record is from RNAcentral.
AUUGAACGCUGGCGGCAGGCUUAACACAUGCAAGUCGAGCGAGCGGCAGACGGGUGAGUAAUGUCUGUGACACUGCCUGAUGGAGGGGGAUAACUUCUGGAAACGGUUGCUAAUACCGCAUACCAUCAGAUGUGCACCUAUGGGCUUAGCUACUAGGUGGGGUAAUGGCUCACCUAGGCGACGAUCCCUAGCUGGUCUGCGAGGAUGACAGGCCACACUGGAACAGAGACACGGUCCAGCCUCCUACGGUAGGCAGCAGUGGGGAAUAGGGGACAAUGGGCGAAAGCCUGAUGCAGCCAUGCCGCGUGUGUGAAGAAGGCCUUCGGGUUGUAAAGCACUUUCAGCGAGGAGGCGUUACUCGCAGAAGAAGCACCGGCUAACUCCGUGCCAGCAGCCGCGGUAAUUC